AACACUGUUAACCUGCGGUACCUGCGGAAGGAUCAUUAAACAACUAGGCCGUAACAAGCCUUGAACCCUUCUCUACGCGCACCCUUACCUUCUCCUUCGGCGGGUCAGCGCCCGCCGUCGGAACCAACAAACCCCCUUUUGCAUCUAGCAUACCACCCGUUCCGAUACAAAACACAAUCGUUACAACUUUCAACAAUGGAUCU
This 203-nucleotide unclassified non-coding RNA is filed under the name soil metagenome. Its description in RNAcentral is "partial contains 5.8S ribosomal RNA, internal transcribed spacer 2, and large subunit ribosomal RNA". The record is from RNAcentral.